Molecule: ribosomal RNA, 389 nt
Filed under: uncultured soil bacterium
Lineage: Bacteria
Description: bacterial SSU rRNA
Rfam family: Bacterial small subunit ribosomal RNA
Source: RNAcentral
AGAGUGAACGCUGGCGGCAGGCCUAACACAUGCAAGUCGAACGGCAGCACAGGAGAGCUUGCUCUCUGGGUGGCGAGUGGCGGACGGGUGAGGAUAACGUCGGAAUCUGCCUAUUUGUGGGGGAUAACGUAGGGAAACUUACGCUAAUACCGCAUACGACCUACGGGUGAAAGCGGAGGACCUUCGGGCUUCGCGCAGAUAGAUGAGCCGACGUCGGAUUAGCUAGUUGGCGGGGUAAUGGCUCACCAAGGCGACGACGGGUAGCUGGUCUGAGAGGACGAUCAGCCGGAUUGGGACUGAGAUACGGCCCAGACUCCUACGGGGGGCAGCAAUUAGGAAUCUUGCGCAAGUGGGGGAAACCUGACGCAGCGACGCCGCGUGCGGAUGAA